Molecule: long non-coding RNA, 1124 nt
Filed under: Equus asinus (donkey)
Lineage: Eukaryota; Metazoa; Chordata; Mammalia; Perissodactyla; Equidae
Description: lncRNA (ENSEASG00005025486.1)
Source: RNAcentral
GAAAUGUUAGAAAUCAAAAACUGCAACAGAAGUGAAGAAUGCCUUGCAAAAAAUAUUAACAGAAGUUCUUCAGGGAAAAGGAAAUGAUAUAGGUCAGAAACUCAGAUCUACAUAAAGGAAGGAAGAGUAUUGGAAGGAAUAAAUGAAGGUACCCAGGUGGUUGAAAAGGACACAGUAUCUUUGUAGAAGAAACUUCUAAAGCUGCUCCAGUUAACAAUAAAGAAGAAAUGAUGGAAUCAAAAUAUCACCACUCUGCAAGUCCUAACAAAUCAAUGGAUAUAGGACUGCUGAACAGCAAAGGGAGAUCAGACAUCCUGUGCCACCUUCUAUUAGGAGUAUUUUCCAGAAAAUUGAACCUAAGUCUGAUCAAACUUCUAGAUCUAACCACCAAUAUACAGAAGCUACAGCGGACAGAGGAAUACAUUAAAUGACACCACAGAGGUACAAUUAUUAAAAUUCAGGCUAGGAAAUGCUACUGGACAAACAACCCAUUUCCUUCAAUAAUUAUAAGAGAAAAGUGUGACAGAGGGGGAGUCUAUGAUUAAGAAAGGUCUAAAGACCUAUCACCACCAACUGCAAUUUAUGGCCUUAUUUUGAUCCUGAGUCUAACAAAUAAACUAAAUAAUCAUGAGACAAUUGGGGAAUUUUCAACAGUGACUAUACAUUUAAUUAUAUCAAGAAAUUGUUGUUAAUUUUUAAGAUAUGAUAUUGGUAUUUCCUUUGUAAAGAAAUAAAUACUGAAAUUCUUACAGAUAAAAAAAUAACAAUCCUUCCCCUAAAUAAAUACAACACAAUUCCAUUUAUUACUCAACAGUUUUCUUUUUGGGGGGUGGAGGGAGUUGGGUAAAAUUAUUUUAAAAGCCAUAUGGAACUAUAAAAUGCCAGAAUAACAAAGAAAAGUAUGAAGAAGAUAAAUAAUGAGAGACAUACCUUCAACUGAAAGCCACUGUAAUAAAAAUCACUGUAAUACAACCAACGUGGUAUUGGCACAAGAGUAGACAAAUCAGUGGAACAGAAGAGCGGAUCCAAAAAUAGAUCUCAGUAUACAUCAUAAUUUAAUAUGUGACAAAGGUAGUGUUUCAAUUCUGUGGGAAAGAAUGGUUUGUUUAAUAAAUAGUGCUGGC